GUGUUGUUUGUUAAGGGCACACGGUGGAUGCCUUGGCAUUAUGAGCCGAUGAAGGACGUGUAAGGCCGCGAUAGGCCUCGGGGAGUUGCCAAUAGAGCGUUGAUCCGAGGGUGUCCGAAUGGGGAAACCUGGCCAUGGUUAUGUGUGGUUACCCAUCAGUGAAUUCAUAGCUGGUGUGGGGGUGACGCGGGGAAGUGAAACAUCUCAGUACCCGUAGGAGAAGAAAAUAAUUAAUGAUUCUGCUAGUAGUGGCGAACGAACGUGGAUGAGGCUAAACCGUAUGCGUGUGAUACCUGGCAGGGGUUGCGUGUGUGGUGUUGUGGGGCGUUGUUGGAGGAGGCUGCCGGCUCCUCGCUUGUGAUGUGUGUGUUAGCGGAAGUGGUUUGGAAUGGCCUGCCGUAGUGGGUGAGAGUCCCGUACGUGAAAACAUGUGCAUGCGAGUGGAUGAUGUUCCCGAGUAGCAGCGGGCUCGUGGAAUCUGCUGUGAAUCUGCCGGGACCACCCGGUAAGCCUAAAUACUUAUGAUGACCGAUAGCGGAUAGUACCGUGAGGGAAUGGUGAAAAGUACCCCGGGAGGGGAGUGAAAUAGUACCUGAAACCGUGUGCUUACAAUCCGUCAGAGCCUCUUUUUGUUAGGUGAUGGCGUGCCUUUUGAAGAAUGAGCCUGCGAGUCAGCGGCAUGUCGCGAGGUUAACCCGUGUGGGGUAGUCGUAGCGAAAGCGAAUCCUAAUGAGGGUGUUUUUUUAGUGGCAUGUCCUGGACCCGAAGCGGGGUGAUCUACCCAUGGCCAGUGUGAAGCAGCUGUAAGAGGUUGUGGAGGCGCGAACCCACUUAGGUUGAAAACUGAGGGGAUGAGCUGUGGGUAGGGGUGAAAGGCCAAUCAAACUCCGUGAUAGCUGGUUCUCCCCGAAAUGCAUUUAGGUGCAGCGUUGUGUGUUUCUUGCUGGAGGUAGAGCUACUGGUUGGUUGAGCGGGACUACAAUCUUAGCAAUGUCAGCCAAACUCCGAAUGCCGGUAAUGUUAAGCAUGGCAGUGAGACUGCGGGGGAUAAGCUCCGUUGGUCGAGAGGGAAACAGCCCAGAUCGCCGGUUAAGGCCCCUAAGGGUGUACUAAGUGGAAAAGGAUGUGGGAUCGCGAAGACAGCCAGGAGGUUGGCUUAGAAGCAGCCAUCCUUGAAAGAGUGCGUAAUAGCUCACUGGUCGAGUGGUUCUGCGCCGACAAUGUAGUGGGGCUCAAGUACACCGCCGAAGCCGCGGCAGUCAACAAUUUUUUUGUUGGUUGGGUAGGGGAGCGUCGUGCACUGCUGUGAAGCACCUGGGUGACUUGAUGGUGUGGAGUGUGUGCGAGUGAGAAUGCAGGCAUGAGUAACGAAUGAAAAGUGGAAAACUUUUCCGCCGGAUGACUAAGGGUUCCUGGGUUAAGCUAAUCUUCCCAGGGUGAGUCGGGACCUAAGGCGAGGCCGACAGGCGUAGUCGAUGGAUAACCAGUUGAUAUUCUGGUACCCGUGUAUGUGCGCCCAGUGGUGAAUCAGUGGUACUAACCAUCCAU
This 1548-nucleotide ribosomal RNA is filed under the name Corynebacterium diphtheriae bv. mitis. RNAcentral's name for it is "partial 23S ribosomal RNA". It matches the Rfam family "Bacterial large subunit ribosomal RNA", at positions 1 to 1494 of the family's 2925-position model. The record is from RNAcentral. Lineage: Bacteria; Bacillati; Actinomycetota; Actinomycetes; Mycobacteriales; Corynebacteriaceae.